Molecule: long non-coding RNA, 409 nt
Organism: Galeopterus variegatus (Sunda flying lemur)
Lineage: Eukaryota; Metazoa; Chordata; Mammalia; Dermoptera; Cynocephalidae
Exons: 2
Source: RefSeq, a predicted model, not a curated record
UUGACCACAACGGAGGCAGUUUCUUGUUUUGUUGGGAAGGCUUCUACCCAUCCUGAAAAGGUGUCUAUGAAAACUAGGAGAUAUUUAUAACCAUAUUUACCAGGUUUGAUCUCAGUGAAAUCUACUUCCCAGUAUUGUCCUGGUCGGUCCCCCCUGAGUCUUUGGCCAAGUUUAGUGGCGCUUUUGCAUACAUUUACUUUUUGGCAGGGUUUACAAUGUUUGACUAUUUGCUCAACCAGUCGUCUAAGUCCCAGGACAUGGUAUUCAGUUUUUUUUAACAGUCUGGAUCAUCUUGUCUGUCCCCAGGUGGGUCCACUGAUGCAUUUGUUUAAGCAUGGCCUGUGCUUGUUUUUGUGGCAAAAUAAGCUUAUUUGUGGCUGUGUGCCAGUGGCCAGUGCUGGGGUCAGAA